This 241-nucleotide unclassified non-coding RNA is filed under the name Hevea brasiliensis (rubber tree). Lineage: Eukaryota; Viridiplantae; Streptophyta; Magnoliopsida; Malpighiales; Euphorbiaceae. The record is from RNAcentral.
GCAAAUUAUCUUGCUUCCCCUCCUCUUGUUGUCGCUUAUGCUCUCGCUGGAACGGUUAAUAUCGACUUUGAAACUGAACCCAUAGGGACAUCGAAAGAUGGGAAGAAGAUAUUCUUCAGGGACAUCUGGCCGACCACUGAAGAGAUUGCAGAUGUUGUGCAAUCAAGUGUCCUACCAGCCAUGUUCAAGAGUACAUACGAAGCUAUUACUGGAGGAAAUCCUAUGUGGAAUGAGCUGUCGG